This is a long non-coding RNA of Ictalurus punctatus (channel catfish), 627 nucleotides long. The record is from Ensembl. NCBI's taxonomy places the organism in Eukaryota, Metazoa, Chordata, Actinopteri, Siluriformes, Ictaluridae.
CGCGUCACCAGAAGGUUGCCGGUUCAGAUCCCGGCACUGCCCGAGCGCCACUCGGGGACUCUUCUCAAACGGUGCGAUUUUGGGACGUUCACUGAAGGACAUAUUCAGAGUCGAGUGAAGAUCGAAUCCAGACGCUCAGACGGAGACGGACCGAAGAGCCAGUCAGAAGCGACGUGAGACGCACACACACACGGGUAUAGUACAGAGGGUUUCUUCUGUGGAGCAGGAUCCAAAAGCCUACGAUUCGGCGAGUGAGGCGAAAACGACCUUUCUCAGCUCGCAGACGAACAAAAGCCGCAUGGGCUCUGAAUGCCAACAAGCCAGAUGCCCCACAUCACGUUUCCCCAAAGACGUCAUGUGCAGCGGAGAAAAGCACCACAUGCCCUGGACCCAUUGUGUGUUCUCCUCCCACAGGCCCCCCAGAGCAGUUUAACAUUACACACACACAUACACAACACACAUAGACACAUACACACGCGCGCGUGCGCACACACACACACACACACACUCUCUCUGUCUCACUGCGCUCUCAACGAGAAACAAAACAUACACACACUCUGAAGUGGUCUUGGUUGCCAUACGGUCAAAUAUAAUUGGCUACCACUUUUUUGUGACACAUAAAGUUAC